This 675-nucleotide ribosomal RNA is filed under the name Blastobacter sp. PS-HalK4. Its description in RNAcentral is "bacterial SSU rRNA". It matches the Rfam family "Bacterial small subunit ribosomal RNA", at positions 30 to 736 of the family's 1533-position model. Lineage: Bacteria; Pseudomonadati; Pseudomonadota; Alphaproteobacteria; Hyphomicrobiales; Nitrobacteraceae. The record is from RNAcentral.
CGAACGCUGGCGGCAGGCUUAACACAUGCAAGUCGAACGCUGUAGCAAUACAGAGUGGCAGACGGGUGAGUAACACGUGGGAAUCUACCCAUCCCUACGGAACAACUCCGGGAAACUGGAGCUAAUACCGUAUACGCCCCUUGAUGGUGGACAUUGAGGGGGAAAGAUUUAUCGGGGAUGGAUGAGCCCGCGUUGGAUUAGCUAGUUGGUGGGGUAAAGGCCUACCAAGGCGACGAUCCAUAGCUGGUCUGAGAGGAUGAUCAGCCACAUUGGGACUGAGACACGGCCCAAACUCCUACGGGAGGCAGCAGUGGGGAAUAUUGGACAAUGGGCGCAAGCCUGAUCCAGCCAUGCCGCGUGUGUGAUGAAGGCCUUAGGGUUGUAAAGCACUUUCACCGGAGAAGAUAAUGACGGUAUCCGGAGAAGAAGCCCCGGCUAACUUCGUGCCAGCAGCCGCGGUAAUACGAAGGGGGCUAGCGUUGUUCGGAAUUACUGGGCGUAAAGCGCACGUAGGCGGAUAUUUAAGUCAGGGGUGAAAUCCCAGAGCUCAACUCUGGAACUGCCUUUGAUACUGGGUAUCUUGAGUAUGGAAGAGGUGAGUGGAAUUGCGAGUGUAGAGGUGAAAUUCGUAGAUAUUCGCAGGAACACCAGUGGCGAAGGCGGCUCACUGGUCCA